This 426-nucleotide ribosomal RNA is filed under the name uncultured bacterium. Its description in RNAcentral is "bacterial SSU rRNA". It matches the Rfam family "Bacterial small subunit ribosomal RNA", at positions 354 to 796 of the family's 1533-position model. The record is from RNAcentral.
GUGAGGAAUUUUCCGCAAUGGGCGAAAGCCUGACGGAGCAAUGCCGCGUGAAGGAUGAAGGCCUAUGGGUUGUAAACUUCUUUUCUCAGAAAAGAAUUAUGACGGUAUCUGAGGAAUAAGCAUCGACUAACUCUGUGCCAGCAGCCGCGGUAAGACAGAGGAUGCAAGCGUUAUCCGGAAUGAUUGGGCGUAAAGCGUCUGUAGGUUGUUUAAAAAGUAUUCUGUCAAAGAUUAGGGCUUAACCCUAGAUAGGCAGAAUAAACUUUUAAGCUAGAGUUUGGUAGAGGCAGAGGGAAUUCCCGGUGGAGCGGUGAAAUGCGUAGAUAUCGGGAGGAACACCAAAGGCGAAGGCACUCUGCUGGGCCAAUACUAACACUGAGAGACGAAAGCGAGGGGAGCAAAUGGGAUUAGAUACCCUAGUAGUCC